Molecule: ribosomal RNA, 490 nt
Filed under: uncultured bacterium
Lineage: Bacteria
Description: partial 16S ribosomal RNA
Rfam family: Bacterial small subunit ribosomal RNA
Source: RNAcentral
AUUGAACGCUGGCGGCAGGCCUAACACAUGCAAGUCGAGCGGUAACAGGAAGAAGCUUGCUUCUUUGCUGACGAGUGGCGGACGGGUGAGUAAUGUCUGGGAAACUGCCUGAUGUAGGGGGAUAACUACUGGAAACGGUAGCUAAUACCGCAUAACGUCGCAAGACCAAAGAGGGGGACCUUCGGGCCUCUUGCCCUCGUAUGUGCCCAGAUGGGAUUAGCUAGUUGGUGGGGUAACGGCUCACCUAGGCGACGAUCCCUAGCUGGUCUGAGAGGAUGACCAGCCACACUGGAACUGAGACACGGUCCAGACUCCUACGGGAGGCAGCAGUGGGGAAUAUUGGACAAUGGGCGCAAGCCUGAUGCAGCCAUGCCGCGUGUAUGAAGAAGGCCUUCGGGUUGUAAAGUACUUUUGGCGGGGAGGAAGAGAGUAAAGUUAAUACCUUGGCUCAUUGACGUUACCCGCAGAAGAAGCACCGGCUAACUCCGUG